This 434-nucleotide ribosomal RNA is filed under the name Hemerotrecha xena. Its description in RNAcentral is "partial 16S ribosomal RNA". It matches the Rfam family "Bacterial large subunit ribosomal RNA", at positions 1914 to 2571 of the family's 2925-position model. Lineage: Eukaryota; Metazoa; Arthropoda; Arachnida; Solifugae; Eremobatidae. The record is from RNAcentral.
GAUGGUUUACUAAAUGGCCGCAGUAUACUGACUGUGCAAAGGUAGCAUAAUAAAUAGUCUUUUAAUUGGAGGCUGGUAUGAAUGAUGGGACGUGAUGGAUGCUGUCUUUAUGGUAGGUUGUUGAGAUUUACUUUUUGAUGAAAAGGUUAAAAUUUGGCUGGUAGACGAGAAGACCCUAUUAAGCUUUAUUAGAAAAGUGGUUUUAUUUGUUUGAUUUGUGGGUGAAUUGCUAUUUUUAAUUUUGUUGGGGCAAUGUUUUAAUAUUGAGAAAUUUUUUAUGAUUUAAAUUUAGUAUGAUCCAUUAUUAGUGAUUGAGAGAAUAAGUUACUGUAGGGAUAACAGCGUGAUUGACUUGGAGAGCUCAUAUUGGUAAGUUAGGUUGCGACCUCGAUGUUGGUUUAGUGAAUCUUUAGGGUGCAGUGGCUUUAGGAGAG